Molecule: long non-coding RNA, 1635 nt
Organism: Canis lupus familiaris (dog)
Lineage: Eukaryota; Metazoa; Chordata; Mammalia; Carnivora; Canidae
Exons: 8
Source: RefSeq, a predicted model, not a curated record
GAUCGCGGGAGACCAAAGGGGGAGGGGCUUUGGUCUCUGAUUCUGAUCCCGGGGCUCUUGGAGUCGGGAGCUCGAGCCCAUCUUCUCUUCCCAGCAGGCCCCCCCUUUUGCUGAGAUCUAUGCACGAGAGGAAGGCCUCGUAACUGCAGCUUCACCCGCCUCCCUGCAGAGCUGGGUGCCACCGGCCUUAAGAGGAACACUGUGGGUGUACCCUUCAUCUCUCUGAGCUGCUGUCUCCUUGUCUGUUAAGUGGAAAUUAUAAUACUACACUGAAGACAUUUCAGAACCACACUGCGGGAAUAAGAAGAGUCAGCAAUUGAAAGCAUAACCAUUGCAUAGUAUUAAAUGAACAGAGACGGUUGAUCCCGCUGUCGAUGGCGCUGUUGUUCUUGUUGAGCGAUGACGGCGGGCUCGAAUUCUGCUUGAGCGCGGCAUCUUCUUCCAGGUCGGUGUCGUCAAUGAGGGGGAUGUGGGGCUGGGAAUCUUCGAUCCGGAAUUCAGGGUGAGCCAUGAAAUUAUGGAUGGAGGUUCGAGACUCAGGCUUUUCUAGACCUUCAUAGAGAGAGCUACGGAACGCCUUCACGACGCGAAUCUGCAAGGGAAGCACAGGGAACUACAGUAUCAUUCGGACAGGAGGAAUCAAGCCCCAUCACAGAUGGUGGGAACCAGUGGUUAGAGGAAGCAUAGUCCACUCCGGCGGGCACCCAGACCUAGUGAGAGACUGAGCCUUGUUAACUUUAAAGCAGAAGUCCAACCAUGCAGAAGGGGAGCGGGCCAGAUGGGAAUAAAGGAGGAAGGAGGAGAGGCUAGUUUUAGAAAAGUAAUCUUAAGAAAACCACACGCAGUUAAGAAACCAUACAACAUGGAACAGAUAACAUGUCACGAAACAGAGAAGGAACAGAAAGGAGAGACAGUUGGAUGAGCUGGGACAGGAGAAGACACACGAGGGCCAGAGGACAAGAACAUCAAACCGAAGCAGCAAAGCAAACCAAAGCCAACUCAGGGCUUUCUGGGGUGCAGAGCAGAGGCAGCCAGAAAGCACGAAGGAGCCGGCGGACUGAUGACAUUCAGGGGCGGGAGCAUGCCACGGUGAGGGGUUGGGAACCACACAGCACACACAGACAGACACACGGCUACACUUGGAAGCCUGGACAAUGUGAACGGAGGUCUUUGUACCCAACGUUUCUUUCCUUCAUGCAUUUGGGAGAUCCAACUCAGAGUGGCGGCAGUGGCAGAGGAAUACGAGGCGGAAUCAGCGCCUCCAAGGAGCAGAGCCUUGCCAAGUUGUCCGUGGAGCCGAGGGUGCCUUGCCUGGCUCUCCCUGCAGAGCAGGGGCUGCCUCCAUACCACAGGGCUGCAAGGAGGGAAGUGUUUCUAAAGCACCCAAGAUGCUCCUCUGCCUUUUGAUUUAGUGUGCACAAAGAAUUUAAGUUGGUGCUGUGGGCUGGGGACUCCAGGGGAUCCUGCUUGUUGGAACCAUGCUUUAAAUGAGAGGCAUCAGGCACCAAGCAAGAGCCAGCAGACGCUGUGUAUUAGUGCUGGCACUCCGUAAUGGCUGUUUGCCCUGAGGCCUCUUUCUCCCUGGAUUCCCUAUUCAAGGCUCUGUAGAGAUGAUUAAAUAUUCUGAUCUCCUGA